This 79-nucleotide small RNA is filed under the name Flavobacterium hercynium. RNAcentral's name for it is "Flavo-1 RNA". It matches the Rfam family "Flavo-1 RNA". The record is from Rfam by way of RNAcentral. Lineage: Bacteria; Pseudomonadati; Bacteroidota; Flavobacteriia; Flavobacteriales; Flavobacteriaceae.
UCCUAGCCCUGAUGGAAGCGGCAUCCUUUUGUGUCCGCCGCGGCGGACAUAAAAGAUAUAGCGUACAGCAGGUUUUAGC